Mesocricetus auratus (golden hamster) is the source of this 204-nucleotide non-coding RNA. Lineage: Eukaryota; Metazoa; Chordata; Mammalia; Rodentia; Cricetidae. The record is from Rfam.
GUCUGGACGCGCUGGGUGGAUGCGGGGGGCUCCUGGGAACUGGGUUGGAGCUGAACGAGCGCUAGCCAGGCGUAAGCGCGCACACACUGCAGCCGCCCGAGGACAACCCCCUCCCGCCGCCGCCCCCUCAGCCCACCCGGAGACCCCAGCGCCGAGUCGCCUCCGGAUCCCCGGCAGUCUGCGGGAGGUAAGAAGCGGUACUUG